GAGCUUGCUCCACCGGAAAAAGAGGAGUGGCGAACGGGUGAGUAACACGUGGGUAACCUGCCCAUCAGAAGGGGAUAACACUUGGAAACAGGUGCUAAUACCGUAUAACAAUCGAAACCGCAUGGUUUUGAUUUGAAAGGCGCUUUCGGGUGUCGCUGAUGGAUGGACCCGCGGUGCAUUAGCUAGUUGGUGAGGUAACGGCUCACCAAGGCCACGAUGCAUAGCCGACCUGAGAGGGUGAUCGGCCACAUUGGGACUGAGACACGGCCCAAACUCCUACGGGAGGCAGCAGUAGGGAAUCUUCGGCAAUGGACGAAAGUCUGACCGAGCAACGCCGCGUGAGUGAAGAAGGUUUUCGGAUCGUAAAACUCUGUUGUUAGAGAAGAACAAGGAUGAGAGUAACUGUUCAUCCCUUGACGGUAUCUAACCAGAAAGCCACGGCUAACUACGUGCCAGCAGCCGCGGUAAUACGUAGGUGGCAAGCGUUGUCCGGAUUUAUUGGGCGUAAAGCGAGCGCAGGCGGUUUCUUAAGUCUGAUGUGAAAGCCCCCGGCUCAACCGGGGAGGGUCAUUGGAAACUGGGAGACUUGAGUGCAGAAGAGGAGAGUGGAAUUCCAUGUGUAGCGGUGAAAUGCGUAGAUAUAUGGAGGAACACCAGUGGCGAAGGCGGCUCUCUGGUCUGUAACUGACGCUGAGGCUCGAAAGCGUGGGGAGCAAACAGGAUUAGAUACCCUGGUAGUCCACGCCGUAAACGAUGAGUGCUAAGUGUUGGAGGGUUUCCGCCCUUCAGUGCUGCAGCUAACGCAUUAAGCACUCCGCCUGGGGAGUACGACCGCAAGGUUGAAACUCAAAGGAAUUGACGGGGGCCCGCACAAGCGGUGGAGCAUGUGGUUUAAUUCGAAGCAACGCGAAGAACCUUACCAGGUCUUGACAUCCUUUGACCACUCUAGAGAUAGAGCUUCCCCCUUCGGGGGGCAAAGUGACAGGUGGUGCAUGGUUGUCGUCAGCUCGUGUCGUGAGAUGUUGGGUUAAGUCCCGCAACGAGCGCAACCCUUAUUGUUAGUUGCCAUCAUUCAGUUGGGCACUCUAGCAAGACUGCCGGUGACAAACCGGAGGAAGGUGGGGAUGACGUCAAAUCAUCAUGCCCCUUAUGACCUGGGCUACACACGUGCUACAAUGGGAAGUACAACGAGUCGCGAAGUCGCGAGGCUAAGCUAAUCUCUUAAAGCUUCUCUCAGUUCGGAUUGCAGGCUGCAACUCGCCUGCAUGAAGCCGGAAUCGCUAGUAAUCGCGGAUCAGCACGCCGCGGUGAAUACGUUCCCGGGCCUUGUACACACCGCCCGUCACACCACGAGAGUUUGUAACACCCGAAGUCGGUGAGGUAACC
This 1386-nucleotide ribosomal RNA is filed under the name Enterococcus faecium. RNAcentral's name for it is "bacterial SSU rRNA". It matches the Rfam family "Bacterial small subunit ribosomal RNA", at positions 76 to 1440 of the family's 1533-position model. The record is from RNAcentral. Lineage: Bacteria; Bacillati; Bacillota; Bacilli; Lactobacillales; Enterococcaceae.